ACGGAAGGCAGCAGUGGGGAAUAUUGCACAAUGGGGGAAACCCUGAUGCAGCGACGCCGCGUGAGUGAAGAAGUAUUUCGGUAUGUAAAGCUCUAUCAGCAGGAAAGAAAAUGACGGUACCUGACUAAGAAGCCCCGGCUAACUACGUGCCAGCAGCCGCGGUAAUACGCAGGGGGCAAGCGUUAUCCGGAUUUACUGGGUGUAAAGGGAGCGUAGACGGCUUUGCAAGUCUGAAGUGAAAGCCCGGGGCUCAACCUCGGAACUGCUUUGGAAACUGUAGAGCUAGAGUGCAGGAGAGGUAAGUGGAAUUCCUAGUGUAGCGGUGAAAUGCGUAGAUAUUAGGAGGAACACCAGUGGCGAAGGCGGCUUACUGGACUGUAACUGACGUUGAGGCUCGAAGGCGUGGGGAGCAAACAGGAUUAGAUACCCUGGUA
Molecule: ribosomal RNA, 434 nt
Filed under: uncultured Clostridium sp.
Lineage: Bacteria; Bacillati; Bacillota; Clostridia; Eubacteriales; Clostridiaceae
Description: partial 16S ribosomal RNA
Rfam family: Bacterial small subunit ribosomal RNA
Source: RNAcentral